This 484-nucleotide ribosomal RNA is filed under the name uncultured bacterium. Its description in RNAcentral is "partial 16S ribosomal RNA". It matches the Rfam family "Bacterial small subunit ribosomal RNA", at positions 30 to 507 of the family's 1533-position model. The record is from RNAcentral.
AUUGAACGCUGGCGGCAGGCCUAACACAUGCAAGUCGAGCGGAUGAAGGGAGCUUGCUCCUGGAUUCAGCGGCGGACGGGUGAGUAAUGCCUAGGAAUCUGCCUGGUAGUGGGGGGUAACGUCCGGAAACGGGCGCGGAUACCGCAUACGACGAGAGGGAGAAAGAGGGGGAGCUUCGGAAAUUACGCUAUCAGAUGAGCGUAGGUCGGAUUAGCUAGUUGGUGGGGUAAAGGCCUACCAAGGCGACGAUCCGUAACUGGUCUGAGAGGCUGAUCAGUCACACUGGAACUGAGACACGGUCCAGACUCCUACGGGAGGCAGCAGUGGCGAAUAUUGGACAAUGGGCGAAAGCCUGAUCCAGCCAUGCCGCGUGUGUGAAGAAGGUCUUCGGAUUGUAAAGCACUUUAAGUUGGGAGGAAGGGCAUUAAGUUAAUACCUUGCUGUUUUGACGUUACCAACAGAAUAAGCACCGGCUAACUUCGUG